Long non-coding RNA from Lepidothrix coronata (blue-crowned manakin), 252 nucleotides. RefSeq lists it as uncharacterized. Lineage: Eukaryota; Metazoa; Chordata; Aves; Passeriformes; Pipridae. The transcript has 3 exons. The record is from RefSeq and is a predicted model, not a curated record.
UCUUUAGGAAGCCACAUAUUUCUGCUAUAAUACAAAGUCAGGCUCAAACGAAGUUGCUGAAGAAGAUGGACUUGGCUUCUUCGUGGGCAGAACCUUCUGAGGGCCAGCACUGGCUGCUCUCUUUAAAUACAGGUUAUCAGCCAGGAAUGACACAUUCUCUUCAAGUAUGAAAAAAAUUACAUACAGGAACAGAGGAGGAAAUGCACUGAGGUCUUUUUGUGGUGAGGAAAAAAAAAAGUUUCUAUAAAAAGU